This 384-nucleotide long non-coding RNA is filed under the name Carassius auratus (goldfish). RNAcentral describes it as "lncRNA (ENSCARG00000033702.1)". The record is from RNAcentral. Lineage: Eukaryota; Metazoa; Chordata; Actinopteri; Cypriniformes; Cyprinidae.
AUGGAUCCCUGUACAAUGAUAGCAGCUGGCGCAGGAGCAGUCGCAGCCGUCGUUGGAGCUCCUGCUGUUCUAGCAGCCGCAGGUUUCACCGGCGCAGGAAUUGCUGCAGGUUCUGUUGCCUCCUAUUUGAUGUCAGCUACUGCUGUCGCUAACGGAGGAGGGAUUGCAGCUGGAUCCGUGGUGGCAGCUCUUCAAGCCGCUGGUGCAGCUGGAAUCCCUGUUGCAGCUCAGGCUGUGAUAGGUGCCAUAGGCGGCACUCUGGGUGCAGCUGUGGGUGGACCAUUGGUAUGCAGUGCAGGAGCCACAGGUGCUGUCACAAGCGGAGGUAUCAUGGGAGCUGCUGUGAGCUCAGUUGCAAGGUUAAUUGGUAACUGCACUGCGUAA